Carassius auratus (goldfish) is the source of this 769-nucleotide long non-coding RNA. RefSeq lists it as uncharacterized. The record is from RefSeq and is a predicted model, not a curated record. The transcript is spliced from 3 exons. NCBI's taxonomy places the organism in Eukaryota, Metazoa, Chordata, Actinopteri, Cypriniformes, Cyprinidae.
GUCCAUCAAAGACCUACUGAGACUGAGAACUUGUGGCACCCUAAAAUGUCUGAAAACUGACCAUUAAGCUAUAACGGGCAUGAUGGAAGUGAUGAUGACUCUGAUAUACCUUCUAUCAAACAAUUCCACCGUGAAGAAGAUGAGAGGGAUGAAGAAUCUUCUACCAAACAGACGCAGAACCGUGACAUUAAUGAAGUCGCAGAGGCUACUGUAAAAAAGCCAAAAGCUCAAGAUAUGAUAUCUAGAAUUAACACGACUGACAGAUUGAACAGACAACAAAAUACCAUUCAGGUUGGCAAUUAUUAUGUUAAAAAUGAAUCUUAUUUUUCAGAUUUGACAGACUUUAGAUUAUUUGCAGAAGUUGCACAAGCAGGACGAGCUCGUGCUGAAUACAGCAUAUUUGAGGCAGAAACCAAAGGUCCAAGCGCCUCAGCUGGUGCUGGAGUCAGUCCGGUUAAAGUCGAAGCAAUGGCUCGAGCUGAAGUCGCCAGUGCAUCAGCUAGUGUCGGUCCAGUUGGUGUGAAAGUGGGACUUGGAUUUGACACGGGUGCAUCUGCUGGUUUGGAUGGGGUGGAGGCCAAAAUCCUGGGAACUGGAUUCUCAAUUGGUCAAAAAAACAGCAUAUCUGUUCUGGGUUCAGAAGCAUCAUGUUCAGUCAUGUAGUCAUAGAGGUAUUAAUUACCUUGGAAUAUUGAUGUGUAACUUUUUACUACUGAACCAUGAAGAAAAAAUAAUAAUAAUUGUAACCAGUUAUAAAGCAUAAUUAGUA